This 87-nucleotide unclassified non-coding RNA is filed under the name Kaistella treverensis. RNAcentral describes it as "Chryseobacterium treverense Flavo-1 RNA". The record is from RNAcentral. Lineage: Bacteria; Pseudomonadati; Bacteroidota; Flavobacteriia; Flavobacteriales; Weeksellaceae.
GCUGCGCCCCGACUUGAACGGAGCUCUUUUUAUAAAUGACGCGGAGCGGAAAUUAUAAAAAAGCGGGAGUGGAAGGCGGAAAAAGGC